Long non-coding RNA from Rosa rugosa (rugosa rose), 1221 nucleotides. RefSeq lists it as uncharacterized. The record is from RefSeq and is a predicted model, not a curated record. The transcript has 2 exons. NCBI's taxonomy places the organism in Eukaryota, Viridiplantae, Streptophyta, Magnoliopsida, Rosales, Rosaceae.
GACUGAGAGGAUCUAGGAUAUCAAGUUCUUGCCACAUUUUUUUCAUCUAGCUAUAGUAAUCAUGGAGUGGGGUCCCAUUUUGUUUGGUAGACACUGUAGCUAUUUGGAGUUCAUAAUUCCUGGAAUCAUCUUGUGCCACUGAAAGCCAGGCUUGAACAAGACUGUCUUCUUGAACCCACAUUUCAUAUUCAUCUUCAUCAUCUUCUGACGGAGCCUUUUUCUUCCCCGUAAUAUAUCCAAGUUUCCCUCUCCCGGUAAUAUUCAGCUUUGCAUGUUUCGACCAAGAAAUGAAAUUUGUGCUGUCCAACUUAUCAGGAGUAAUCGGACCAUGGUCAUUUGAGUAGGAUCUUCCCAUAACUUGGAAUGAAGACUCAGCCUUUUUUGAAGAGUCAUUCUGAGAUGAUAAGUUGACUUGCUGUUCCACCAUUGUUCAGUUUGGUUUAGACGAGGUCUAAACCCAGCGACAAUCUCUGCUGUCGAUCUGUGUGGAGUAUAUGGUGGAGUCAAAGUCAGGUGAGUCAAGCUUGGGUUGACGACUUGAGAUCGGUGGCGGCGAGCUCGAUUGUCUGUCGUCGGAGUCUGGGUCUAAUGAAGUCGGCGGGUCUACGGUCUAUGGGUCGAAGGAAGCUUGCUUCUGCUUCUGAUCUGGAGGUCGUCUGAUCGGAGGAUGCUGACCGGAUUGUCGGCGUUGAGUUUGCAGGUUCCGUAAGCAGGCGAGUCAGUCUGAAGCCGAGAUGUGUCGUGGAUCGGGUCUGAAGCCUGAGGCGUGGACUGAUGCGCUGGUGCAGGCCGGACUCGAGGCGGCGAGGUCGACGUCGAAUCCGCAGAAAGCCGGAUGCAGGUGCUGGUCGAAGUCUGAUGCAGGUCGCGUGUCGUCGGUCCUGGUCCCUGUCGGCGUUGAGAUGGCCGGAGUCUGAGGAGCUGAAGGAGACGACGCUGAGGCUGGUGCUGCAGGCGGGUCGGGUCCGGGUCCGGGUCGGAUCUGGUCCAAGCUGGAGUCUUCGUGUUUCACCAGAUUACCUGCACUUACAAUGUCGUGAUAUCAGAAAUGAUUUUCCUAGUCAGCAAUAAACUCUACAAGUUUAGUAUGGGUAUAACUAUGGUAUUAAUAUGGGUAUGAAGAACUUCUAAGUUCUUAUGAUAUUUGGAAUUUCAGCAGCGGAAUUGGGUAUGGGAGUUUUAGGUCUCAAGAGCGUAUUGCUCUGAUACCAUGUUGAAUUA